Molecule: non-coding RNA, 28 nt
Filed under: Homo sapiens (human)
Lineage: Eukaryota; Metazoa; Chordata; Mammalia; Primates; Hominidae
Source: RNAcentral
UGCCAUCAGCACCAACAGCUUCAGAGAG